RNAcentral lists this ribosomal RNA (391 nucleotides) under Plagiostriata sp. RNAcentral's name for it is "partial small subunit ribosomal RNA". It matches the Rfam family "Eukaryotic small subunit ribosomal RNA", at positions 582 to 975 of the family's 1831-position model. Lineage: Eukaryota; Bacillariophyta; Fragilariophyceae; Staurosirales; Staurosiraceae. The record is from RNAcentral.
AUUCCAGCUCCAAUAGCGUAUAUUAAAGUUGUUGCAGUUAAAAAGCUCGUAGUUGGAUUUGUGGUUGGAGCGGUCGGUCCGACACUCUGUGUGGGUACUUGACUGUCUCCGUCCAUCCUUGGGUGGAACCUGUGUGGCAUUAGGUUGUCGUGCAGGGGAUGCCCAUCUUUUACUGUGAAUAAAUUAGAGUGUUCAAAGCAGGCUUACGCCGUUGAAUAUGCUAGCAUGGAAUAAUAAGAUAGGACCUUGGUACUAUUUUGUUGGUUUGCGCACCGAGGUAAUGAUUAAUAGGGACAGUUGGGGGUAUUCGUAUUGCACUGUCAGAGGUGAAAUUCUUGGAUUUUUGCAAGACGAACGACUGCGAAAGCAUUUACCAAGGAUGUUUUCAUUA